This 2794-nucleotide long non-coding RNA is filed under the name Mus musculus (house mouse). RNAcentral describes it as "RIKEN cDNA E330032C10 gene". Lineage: Eukaryota; Metazoa; Chordata; Mammalia; Rodentia; Muridae. The record is from RNAcentral.
AGUGUUUUCUCAGACAGCACCUGGCCAGAUGGCAGGACACACGGGGGAACCACUGUUGGGCUGAGAGCCUCCCUGAUAGGGACCAAAAGGAAUCUCUAAAGGAGCAAUGCGGCUCAGCACACGGACCAGGAAGCAGAGAGAAGGUCAGAACAGAAAAGGCGGUGUCUGCUGGAGACGAAAAGGGGUCCAGACCCUGUGAGGAAACUUGAUAAAAAAAGAAAAAAAAAGUAAUGAAAAUCCAAGAAGACCUUUUCUGGCCAUCCUUGUGUUUAAACAUAGCAUUCCAUGUUGGAAAGAAGGUAACACUUUCUGGUUCUGGACCGUGGCUCAUACCCACAGCUGAUGUCUACUCCAACAUCAUGGCAGAGAAUACCACACUGUGGCUAAUGCCACGGACAUUCCAGGAAGCCUUGGAUAAGUGAGGGGAGAAGUGUUCUAUGCUGGAAAAAGUCUCCACCCCACAGCAAACCUCGAUGUGGGGGAGAGCCGACUAGGUGGGCAGGUGCUGUGCCUUUCCAGAAGCUCAUUUCUGAAUGGUUGGCAUCCCUGAGAUGUGCUUUCCAGAGCCCAGCAACAGAGCCCAGCAGGCUGGAGCAAGAGAUCAGGCUCGCAUGCAAAGAAGCAAGGAGCACUGUCAGCCAGAAGGAUUCUCUCUCUAUAUAUAGAUAUAGAUAGAUAUUGUGGUCAAGCUCAGAGUCAGCUAUGAGGGGAUUUCUCAGCCCUGCAUCUGGGGGUCAUUUAAUAUCCAGCUCACCGCGCCACGCCCCUCCCCCCAGGUUUUCUUAUGCCUGUGUUGUCCUUCAAUGGAUCUGGCUGCAUUCUCUGCUCCUCCAGGUCUCAGUGAGAAGCAGGCACAGGAACUCUCUCGUGAACUCAUUUGCUCUCCCGGUUCCCUCUGCACCUGCUGCCUCUAAGGGCCCGGUGAAUCCAGCCGUUUCCACAGCAAACAGUCAUAAACAGCCAGAAGCGACCCAGCACUCAGCACUUCCGGUGCAGAAGCAGGGUGGGGAGUCGCUGCUUUGGCAGAGCCCAUUUCCAUACAGAUGUUUUCAGCCAUAAAACCGGAGGCUUGAAGAGCAAGAAGUGGGUCGGGUUGCAAAUGACAAGGCCUGCGAAGGACAUUAGGCUGAAGUUCAGACCGUGAUUCAGAGCUUCCUCAGGGCUAACCUGCACCUCACAGCCGGUCAGCUGGGGGCCAGAGGUUUGGGAAAGUGGGAAGUAGCUGAAGGAGCUGAAACCAAAGAGGCCCACCCUGGUUGUGCAAACACAGACCCCCCCCACACACACACACCUUUACCAAACAUACCUACUGUGGUAUCAGUCCACUGCCUUCAGUUCUUUUUCUUUCUUUCUUUCUUUUUUUUUAAUAAUUGACAGAAAUAAUUUUUUUAAAAGAUUUAUUUAUUGGUUAUAUGUAAGUACACUGUAGCUGUCUUCAGACACUCCAGAAGAGGGAGUCAGAUCUCGUUACAGAUGGUUGUGAGCCACCAUGUGGUUGCUGGGAUUUGAACUCCAGACCUUCAGAAGAGCAGUCGGUGCUCUUACCCACUGAGCCAUCUCACCAGCCCAAGUUCUUUUUCUUUCCAAACAUGCUUGUGACUGAACAAGUUUACUGGGACAGAGCAGAGAGAAGACAUUUCUAAUGAAGUGUGACUAUCUAGUCAGUGGUGACCUUAUAGCUUGGGGUUGUCUGAUAUCAGUGAGACAAUGCGAUGCAACGUCGUCUUUGUUAGGGUUUCUAUUGCUGCAACAAAUCCCCAUGAUCAAAAUCCAAGUUUGGCUUUCAUUUUGCUCAGGUUUGGGGCAGACAGGGUUUAUUUGGUUUACACUCUCAUAUUGCUGAUCAUCAUUGAAGGAAGUCAAGGCAGGAACCCAAACAGGGUAAGAACCUGGAGGCAGGAGCUGAUGCAGAGGCCAUGGAGGGGUCCUGCUUACUGGCCUGCUUAGCUAGUUUUCUAAUAGAACGUAGGACCCAGGGAUGGCAUCACCUAUGAUGGGUUGAGCCUUUUCCCAUCAACCACUAAGAAAAUGCCCUACAGGCCCGCCUAUAAUGGGAUUUGAUAGAAGCAUUUUUCUCAAUUGUGGUUCUCUCUUUGCAGGUAACUCUAGUUUGUGUUGACACAAGGCUAGCCAACACGAGUAUAUGUGUCAGUUCAUACAUGGUUCCUUAGAGCCUGUGAUGGUUAAUCUUCACCAUCAACUUGACUGGAUUUAGAAUCAACAUGGAAACACAUCCCUGUGUCUAUCAGGGUAUUUCUAGAAGGGGCUAGCUGAAGAAUGUGCAAUACAGUUUCAUGAGCUGGGGUACAGAUUGGAUGAAAAGGAGAAUGUCAGUUGAGCAUCAGCGGUCAUCUCUCUUUGCUUGCUCACAGAAACAAUGUAGCAAUGUGACGAGUCAAACAAUGUAGCAAGGUGACAAGUCUCCACAUAUUUCAGUUGCUGUGACUUCCCUGUGUGACAGAUUGUAUCUCUGUGAACUGUAAAUCUUGUCUUGAGAUGGUUAGCUUUUAUUGUCACCUUGAGGCAACUAGAAUUAGCUAGGAAGAAAGUUUUAGUAAGUUACCUUAAUCAAGUUGGCCUAUGGCUAUGUCUUUUGGGAAGUGUCUUGUCCAUUUUGGGUGACAUCCUUCCCUGGGGGUUUGGAGUCCUAAAUUAUACAAGAUAAGAAAAAGCUAGAUAAGAGAAAGUAGGCAGCAAGAUGGAUUCAUUUCUCUCUGCUGUUGACUGUGGAUAUGAUGUCACUCACUGCUGCAGUGCCUGCCUUGAUGUUCCCUUAAUAAACCCUUUCCUUUCC